Small nuclear RNA from Oryctolagus cuniculus (rabbit), 107 nucleotides. Lineage: Eukaryota; Metazoa; Chordata; Mammalia; Lagomorpha; Leporidae. The record is from Ensembl.
GUGCUCUCCUCGGCAGCACAUGUAACAAAAUUAGAACAUUACAGAGAAGAUUAGCACGGUCCCUGUCCAAGGAUGACAUGUAAAUUUGUGAAGCGUUCCAUAAUUUU